Molecule: long non-coding RNA, 423 nt
Organism: Protopterus annectens (West African lungfish)
Lineage: Eukaryota; Metazoa; Chordata; Ceratodontiformes; Protopteridae
Exons: 3
Source: RefSeq, a predicted model, not a curated record
ACCAGGUGCAAUGCAAAGAUACCAGGCAAGCAGUGGAAAUCUAUUAGUGAAGGUCUCAGAGGGGAAUGAAGUGACAGCACUAUUUAAUUUGGUGACACAAUGGAUGAUCAUAUACAAGAAAUUGCUACUUUCAGCAUGAAGGAGGUAUAAUGGAGCCGUGGGCUGAGAUGGUGGCUCUCUGCAUGUAACUGUGAGUCAGCAGCAGGAACCGGUUCCAGAUGAAUGCAAGAUUUCAUCUCCGGGUCUUAGAAGGUCAAGCUGAUCUUCCAGAAAGGCCACCAUCUGUAGCAUUUAACUUUUUUUUUUAAUAUUCUGUCUUACAUUAUUCAUAAUUGUAAGCAACUGAAAUAUUCAAAUUAAAUCAUUUCAAAUGGAACAGAAGCAGUUUAAUACAAGCAUGAAUGUGGCAUCUUUUCACUUUUG